This 465-nucleotide ribosomal RNA is filed under the name uncultured bacterium. RNAcentral's name for it is "partial 16S ribosomal RNA". It matches the Rfam family "Bacterial small subunit ribosomal RNA", at positions 30 to 507 of the family's 1533-position model. The record is from RNAcentral.
CGAACGCUGGCGGCGUGCUUAACACAUGCAAGUCGACCGGAAAGGCUCCAGCUUGCUGGAGUACUCGAGUGGCGAACGGGUGAGUAACACGUGGGUAAUCUGCCCUGCACUCUGGGAUAAGCCUGGGAAACUGGGUCUAAUACUGGAUAUGACCUUUCUCCUUAUGGGGUUUGGUGGAAAGUUUUUCGGUGUAGGAUGAGCCCGCGGCCUAUCAGCUUGUUGGUGGGGUGAUGGCCUACCAAGGCGACGACGGGUAGCCGGCCUGAGAGGGUGAUCGGCCACAUUGGGACUGAGAUACGGCCCAGACUCCUACGGGAGGCAGCAGUGGGGAAUAUUGCACAAUGGGCGGAAGCCUGAUGCAGCGACGCCGCGUGAGGGAUGACGGCCUUCGGGUUGUAAACCUCUUUCAGCAGGGACGAAGCGUAAGUGACGGUACCUGCAGAAGAAGCACCGGCUAACUACGUG